RNAcentral lists this unclassified non-coding RNA (26 nucleotides) under Mus musculus (house mouse). RNAcentral's name for it is "oocyte_clustered_small_RNA1143". Lineage: Eukaryota; Metazoa; Chordata; Mammalia; Rodentia; Muridae. The record is from RNAcentral.
UGUGAAUCCAUGAGCACGAGAGAUCA